GAUGAACGCUGGCGGCGUGCUUAACACAUGCAAGUCGAACGGAAAGGCUCCUGCUUGCAGGGGUACUCGAGUGGCGAACGGGUGUGUAACACGUGGGUGUUCUCCCCUGCACUUCGGGAUAAGGCUGGGAAACUGGGUCUAAUACCGGAUAGGUCGAUGUUUUUGAUGCUAUUGUGGAAAGCUUUUUUGGUGUGGUAUGGGCUCGUGGGCUAUCAGCUUUUUGGUGGGGUAUUGGUCGACCAAGGCGUCGACAGAUAGCCGGCCCGAGAGAGUGUACGGCCACAUUGGGUCUGAGGUACGGCCCAGACGCCGAUGGGAGGGAGCAGUGGGGAACAUUGCACAAUAGGCGCAAGCCUGAAGCGGCGACGCUGGGUGGGGAAAGACUGCCUGUGAGUGGUGAACUCCUUUGGUUUAGUACGAGGCGGAAGUGACGGUACCUGGAGAAGAAGCCCCGGCUAACUACGUG
Molecule: ribosomal RNA, 466 nt
Filed under: uncultured bacterium
Lineage: Bacteria
Description: partial 16S ribosomal RNA
Rfam family: Bacterial small subunit ribosomal RNA
Source: RNAcentral